Molecule: ribosomal RNA, 265 nt
Filed under: uncultured archaeon
Lineage: Archaea
Description: partial 16S ribosomal RNA
Rfam family: Archaeal small subunit ribosomal RNA
Source: RNAcentral
AGACGUCUACAUUAGAUACCCGUGUAGUCCUAGCCGUAAACGAUACUCGCUAGGUGUCGGCCACGGUGCGACCGUUGUCGGUGCCGUAGGGAAGCCGUGAAGCGAGCCACCUGGGAAGUACGGCCGCAAGGCUGAAGCUUAAAGGAAUUGGCGGGGGAGCACCACAACGGGUGGAGCUUGCGGUUUAAUUGGAUUCAACGCCGGAAAUCUUACCGGGACCGACAGCAACAUGAAGGCCAGGCUGAAGACUUUGCCGGAUUAGCUG